GCUAUGGUGAGGAAGUAAUUAGAGAUGAGUUUGGGUCUAGAAAACCAGGUAAUUAUGAAAUGAAAGCAGACCCAGAACUCAAAAAUGUCAUGUCCAAUCUGGUGGCUGGAAUGAACAACUUGAGUAAAAAGUUUGAUGCUUUCACUGUUUCCACUAGUUCGAGUUCAUACAAAGAGUCAAAUAAUCCCGUCAUGAAAGUGGAUCACGAGUCAUAUAGUUUGUGUGUUUUGUGUAAUAGUCCGGAGCAUCUAGUGGAGUGCCGCCCUAAUCUGCCCAUCAUAAAGGCCGAGCAAGCAAAUGCUCUAAAUUCAUAUAGUGCCUUUAAGAAGCCCACUCCCAACUCGUUCAGCCCAGUUUACCACCCUGAUAAUAGGUUCCACCCAAAUUU
This 388-nucleotide long non-coding RNA is filed under the name Phoenix dactylifera (date palm). RNAcentral's name for it is "long non-coding RNA (PDAC_LNC011945)". Lineage: Eukaryota; Viridiplantae; Streptophyta; Magnoliopsida; Arecales; Arecaceae. The record is from RNAcentral.